GGAAUCUGUCCAGAUACAGAUGCUCAUCUAUUCACUGUUCACUCUGCUCCUCCUCCCAACGCCACUGACAGAGUUCUUGUGACUUUUGACCACUCAUCUAUGGCACGAGGGCCUGUUUUCUCUGGUAUAAACAGGUGCUUUAGGGUGUGAGGCAGGAGACACACACCCUGUAAUGUUGUCCAAUGUGUAUCAGGUUUUUUUCCCGACAGACUCCAGACCAGAACAGCAGCUACACCUGGGUUCGUCCUGAGUUCGUCUGAGUAGCAGUGAUUCUAAACCUUCUAAAAAGACCUUCUAGACGAUGCGAUAUUCACCCACACGGUCGUCACGGAACAAUCCUGAAGAAUGUAUGAAAGACAAAGAAGGAAGCUCAUCUCACCGACAUCCCAUCGCUGCUGCAGAUUCGGCCCCCUCACCGCCCGCCGGGACCCCAUGAUUAAUUGGAUAAACGCAGAUGGCGGCGCAUCACAAAGAUAUUUCUGUCACGGCAGCAGUGGAGCCUGAUGCACAAACACAACGUCAGAGGCUCUGGACCGUCGGGUGGAGGCCAGGGUUUGGUUCCAUUCCUGCCACGGAGACAGAAGAGACAAUCGGCCUGUUAAAAGUCCAGCACAGGUGGAGGACGCCGUUUAAAAACAUCCGAGUCCAAACUGCAGCCUUUCAUCCAGAGGACGGACAAGCAAAGCGGCUCCAGGGUCACGUGGCAUCAGGCAAAAAGGAACGACGACGACUAUGUUUGUUAGUUACCCCAAAAACGGAGUCAAUUAUCAUCCAAGGUCAAUUCUAUUGA
Molecule: long non-coding RNA, 790 nt
Filed under: Betta splendens (Siamese fighting fish)
Lineage: Eukaryota; Metazoa; Chordata; Actinopteri; Anabantiformes; Osphronemidae
Description: lncRNA (ENSBSLG00000009154.1)
Source: RNAcentral